UAAGUGGUGGCCCUUUGGGGAGACACCAAUUGAUAGUUUGUUUCCUUCCUGUUGUCCAAGCCAGGGUUCCUCUUUAGGACCUGGCAGUGGUUCUUGAGAGGUUAUCCCUUGCACCCUUCGAACCCACUGACGAGGUGUCUGAGAAGUUUCUCACUUUCAGAAUGACCUUCCUGCUAGCUAUUACAUCCCUCAAAAGGGUUGGGGACCUGCAGGCGCUAUCUGUUGAUCCCUCUUGCCUUGAGUUUGCUCCUGGGAGGGUAAAGGCUAUUCUCCACCCUAGGCCGGGAUAUGUGCCCAAGGGGCCAUCAAAUGUAGUGUAGUCUAUCAUCCUGCAGGCUCUUCAUCCUGCACCACAUGUCAGCUGAUCAUGAGAGGCUACACCUAUUAUGCCCUAUCCGGGCCCUAGAGGCCUAUGUAUGGAGAUCCUCAGGUUGGAGGAAUUCUGACCAACUAUUCGUGUUUUGGGUCACUUAAGAAGGGUUCCCCUGCCUCUAAACAGACAGCUAGCAGGUGGAUUGUGGAGGCUGUUUCUUCAAUGUAUGAUGUGUGCAGUUAGCCCUUGCCUCUCCUGAUAAGAGCCCACUCAACUACAGGAGUAGUAGCAUCUAAAGCCCAGCUAUCAGAGGUCUCCCUUCAAGAGGUCUGUGAUGCCGCUGGCUGGAUCUCCCCACAUACUUUCAUAAGAUAUUAUAGCUUGGAUCUGCCCUCCACACCAGGUUCUCAAGUCCUCUCGUCCUGAGCUGUGCCUGACAAGUUUCACACCAGGACAGGCACUAGUCAUUGUGGUGCAGUAGAUAUUUUCUUCUCAAAAGUGUCAUCUUCAACGCAGUGUGAGUUCCCUCGAAAGGGAACGUCUCGGGUUAUGACUGUAACCUUUGCUCCCUGAGAAGGGAACAAGAUGCUGCAUCUCUUUGUCACACCUGAGAACAAAUUGCUUCGACCUAUCAGAAGCUAACACUGUUCAGUGCCUGACUCCCCUUUGUAGCUUCUGUGUACGCUGUCACAUGUGACAUCAUGAUGCAACACUAAUUUUAGAUUGGACUAGAUCUACAUGUGCUUCAGACCCUAUCAUGCUGGAGGUGUUCUCCAAAGUGUCGUCUUCGAUGCAGAAUCUCAUUCCCUUCUCAGGGAACAAGGGUUACAGUCAUAACCCGAGAUGAUUUGUAGCCUCGUUACUUUGAAUUUGAAAUCUAAUUUUUUGAUUUGGUGUGCAGAUUCAUUGUGGCUUUGUACAUAAUUUAAUCCUUCAAAAACAGCACAUGUAUAGAUAACUUUUCCAGGUGUAAUGUUUCAUAUUUGGGGGGGAAUUUAUUUGUUCAUUUUAUCUGACAGGUGUGAUGAUCAGUGGACUUGAGUUUUUACCUUUAUCAUCAAGGCAUGGGCUAAAAUACGGAUAGAGUUUGUCAGUGAAAGUCUGACCAGUGAAAGAGUAGAUAUGAGAUCUGGAGUCCACGUCAUAAAAAGAGACCAGACCCUCCUCAUCAUCCACAAACACUCCCACUUUCUCAGGUUUCUCUCUCUGAGGAACAGAGACCACUAGAUAUACAAAAUUAUAAAUGCAACACUUUUGUUUUUGCCCCCAUUUUUCAUGAGCUGAACUCAAAGAUCUAAGACUUUUUCUAUGUACACAAAAGGCCUUUUUCUCUCAAAUAUUGUUCACAAAUCUGUCUAAAUCUGUGUUAGUGAGCACUUCUCCUUUGCCGAGAUAAUCCAUCAAGAUUGAGUUCAUCACAAAAAGAAACUCUAAAUCCAUUGAUUUUGUUUGUACGGUUUCAGCCUAUAGAUGGCGCUGUUGUGUAUAAAGAGUUGACAGUCAAGAUCACGUUCCAGAACCCGCUGUCACAAGUGUUGAAGAACGUUUUGUUCCGGAUAGAGGGAUUGGGAAUGCAGAGCGUCAGAAAGAUCCCGUAUGGUGAUGUGGAGAAGCUUGCGAUGGUUACACUGAUGGAGAAGUUUGUUCCCACCGUCUCCAGCUCUUUCAUUUUAUGUUUCAUGUAUAUUUAAUAAUUCAGUCAAUUGAAACUGAUAUAACAACAAAGAUCCUCCAUGUUUUAUUCAUAUCACAUUUAUUUGUUGUAAUGUUUAUGUGAGCAGAUGUUCAUGAGCUUGAAUCAUUCUCCAAUACGUUUUUGCAUGAUUAGCAAGCUGUUUAGAUUAUGAGCAAUAUCAGUUAAAGAACUGAACAUGUCUUUAUUCAGAUUUUGCAGUUCUUCCAUUGUCAACCAAAAACCUCAACAUUUCACAAGUAAUUCAAGUGUUAACAGCUGGAGAGAAGAGAGAAAAUGGCUUCAGAAUUUUCUUUACAAAACCACAUGUAGAAACACAAAAGUUUGUUAAUUUAGGAUAUUAUGUAGAAUUUCACCAUUAAAGAUUAAAUCAUAUUAUGUUACAUUUUUAUAGUAUAUUUGAAAAAAGAAUCAAUGAAAAACAAAAGCAGACAAAUCAUUGUGUUCAUUAGAAAUGUAUAGACUCAUAACAAAUUGACCAUGCACAUGUACAAAUAACUUGUAGUUCCAUGUUUUGCCAGCAUUAGAUUUUUUAUGGGCCCAAAUAAACUGUUCUUUUUUGCACUUGUA
This is a long non-coding RNA of Megalobrama amblycephala (Wuchang bream), 2576 nucleotides long. RefSeq lists it as uncharacterized. NCBI's taxonomy places the organism in Eukaryota, Metazoa, Chordata, Actinopteri, Cypriniformes, Xenocyprididae. The record is from RefSeq and is a predicted model, not a curated record. The transcript has 2 exons.